GACGAACGCUGGCGGCGUGCUUAACACAUGCAAGUCGAACGGACAGGCCCUGCUUUUGUGGGUUGCUCGAGUGCCGAACGGGUGUGUAACACGUGAGUAUCCUGCCCUUGUCUUUGUGAUAACUUCAGGAAACUGCGGCUCAUAUCGGAUAGGAGCUCCUGCUCCAUGGUGGUGGUUGGUAAGUUCCGGCGGUUGUGGAUGGACUCGCAGCUUAUCAGCUUGUUUGUGUGGUUGUGGCUUACCAAGGCUUUGACGGGUAGCCGGCCUGAGAGGGUGACCGGCCACAUUGGGACUGAGAUAGGGAGCAGACGGCUACGGGAGGCAGCAGUGGGGAAUAUUGCACAAUGGGCGGAAGCCUGAUGCAGCAACGCCGCGUGCGGGAUGACGGCCUUCGAGGUGUAAACCGCUUUCGAAUGUGACGAAGCGUGCGUGACGGUAAUGGGUAAAGAAGCACCGGCUAACUACGUG
RNAcentral lists this ribosomal RNA (468 nucleotides) under uncultured bacterium. Its description in RNAcentral is "partial 16S ribosomal RNA". It matches the Rfam family "Bacterial small subunit ribosomal RNA", at positions 28 to 507 of the family's 1533-position model. The record is from RNAcentral.